GACGGAGGGAGCAAGCGUUGUCCGGACUCACUGGGCGUAAAGCGUGCGUAGGUGGUGCGAGGCGUCGGCGCUGAAAGCGCCCGGCUUAACCGGGGGACGGGCGACGAUACGAUCGCACUGGAGGCAGGGAGACGUUGGUGGAAUUCCGGGUGUAGUGGUGAAAUGCGUAGAGAUCCGGAGGAAUGCCGGUGGCGUAAGCGGCCAACGAGUCCUGACCUGACACUGAGGCACGAAAGCGUGGGGAGCAAACCGG
Molecule: ribosomal RNA, 253 nt
Filed under: uncultured bacterium
Lineage: Bacteria
Description: partial 16S ribosomal RNA
Rfam family: Bacterial small subunit ribosomal RNA
Source: RNAcentral